Molecule: long non-coding RNA, 312 nt
Filed under: Hordeum vulgare
Lineage: Eukaryota; Viridiplantae; Streptophyta; Magnoliopsida; Poales; Poaceae
Description: long non-coding RNA (HVUL_LNC004686)
Source: RNAcentral
AAGAAAACAAACUACCACUUCUUUUGGUCCUAUAGGAAACUUGAAUUCUAUCUAUAUUGGUGUUGGGCUACUUUAUUUUCACUUUCCCAUGGCUAGUACCCCCUGAUACUAACCAUAGUUUCAUCAAAACAAGCAACCAACUCAACAAAAACAGAAUCUGUCAAAUACAGACCAGUCUGUAGAAAUCUGUAUACUUCAUAUACUUCUGGGACCUCAAAAACGUUGAACAAUUACGACGGCCUGGGAAAAAGGCAUAUCAACCAGCAGAAAAAAGAAUCAACUCAAAAUCUCUUUCUGAAUAAAAAUAAAAAA